RNAcentral lists this ribosomal RNA (522 nucleotides) under uncultured Acidobacteriota bacterium. RNAcentral describes it as "bacterial SSU rRNA". It matches the Rfam family "Bacterial small subunit ribosomal RNA", at positions 384 to 896 of the family's 1533-position model. The record is from RNAcentral. Lineage: Bacteria; Pseudomonadati; Acidobacteriota.
CGACGACGCAACGCCGCGUGGAGGAUGAAGGUCUUCGGAUUGUAAACUCCUGUUGCUAGGGACGAAUGGCUCCGACCUAACACGUCGGAGUGUGACGGUACCUGGUGACGGAAGCCCCCGGCUAACUCUGUGCCAGCAGCCGCGGUAAUACAGAGGGGGCAAGCGUUGUUCGGAAUUACUGGGCGUAAAGGGCGCGUAGGCGGCCUGCUAAGUCGAACGUGAAAUCCCCGGGCUCAACCCGGGAACUGCGUCCGAUACUGGUGGGCUUGAAUCCGGGAGAGGGAUGCGGAAUUCCAGGUGUAGCGGUGAAAUGCGUAGAUAUCUGGAGGAACACCGGUGGCGAAGGCGGCAUCCUGGACCGGUAUUGACGCUGAGGCGCGAAAGCCAGGGGAGCAAACGGGAUUAGAUACCCCGGUAGUCCUGGCCCUAAACGAUGAAUGCUUGGUGUGGCGGGUAUCGAUCCCUGCCGUGCCGAAGCUAACGCAUUAAGCAUUCCGCCUGGGGAGUACGGUCGCAAGGCUG